GAACACUCUUCAUGUUCUAGUGACCUUUGAUUAAAAAAAGCAGAGGCCACGGCCUGGUUAUCCAUCACUUUCCGGGUUGAAGGGAGCCGCCUUGGUCUUCUGUGGCUCUUGGGCUGGACGCACACGUGGGUCCCCUUUGCCAGCUGGGGCAGCAGGUGUGGGAAGGGCACGGUGAGAGGCACAGCCUUCUCCUGCUGGCUCCAGGUUUUGGGGUUUUGUUUUUCCCCUUUGGGAUGAUUUGCCAGUUGUGUGUGGACAGCCGGUGGUGUGGGCCCUCUGGUGAUGUUUGGGGGUGCCGCGGUUCAUGACACGGACACAGUCCCUAUCUCCCCGUCCACGUGUGGGAAGCGAGGUCCAGGGCGGUGGCACUGAGAAGCAUCAGGACCUUGGAGAAGUGGCACCCAGUGGGAACUUGCUGGGGGCACUGCUCACGGGGGGGUGAUGGUCUCAGGGGUCCCCAGUUAGUCCCUGGGAGAGUGAAUUGCUACAGACAGCAAGGUUUCUGGCUUCGUGUCUCACCCUAUGCUGCUCCCUCUCACCUCCUCCCACCAUGACGCCAUGGCUGAGCUGGCACUGUGCCCUUGAACCUCUAAAACUAUGAGUUCAUGAACUGUUCUUUAUAAAGUAUGCAGCCCCAAGUGUUGUGUCACAGAGACAGAAAGCACGUACACCACAGCACGUAGCUUCCUCUUGAUUCUUGCUGUCACCCUGAGGGCACCCCUAGCAGAAUCAGCUGUUGGCUGAGAACAGCCUCCGGGCAGAGCAGUGCUGGACAGAGCAGUCCCGGUUUCCGUUCUGCUCCUGCCGGCCAGCCCCCACCCGCAGCCCCUCAGCGCAUGUCAUGACUGCACGGGCCCUCAUGGCCACUGUCGCCUCUCCCACCAGGAAGCAUACUGUUCCAUGGAGGAUAUAUGCCACAUAUUCUUCUACUGAUAGACACCCAGAUUGCUUAACAGCUUGGCUAUCAUAAAUAAUGCAAAAAUGAACACAGGAGUGCAGGAAUUUACCCAUUCUUCGGGAUUACACAAUUUCUCGCCGUGUAGCUGCUCAUAGUAACCUCUCGGAUUUCUAAGUUUCCGCUGAAAUUCCUGCACUGGCCUGAGUAUGGACGCACUUUUCCGCGUCGUUGCUCCCGUGUGAGAAGAGAUGGGAAGAACACCUGACAACGAAGAUGAGAAGGUUUCGUUACGAAUAAGACUGCUCACCUGCGCAGAUCCUGUGAGUCAAUGCCUCUGACAGUGUGGCGCUGGCUUGCAGGUCUACCGAGCUGCACCAUGAUCCAGGUCCCAUGGCAGCUGUGGGCUGGGAGUCCUGAGUGCCAGGGGAAAAAAAGCGACACCCUCAUGUGACUGCUGCUCCGUCUGCAGACUCUUAGAUCAGCCCUGCAAAGUAGGAGCUUGUGGCAGCCCUCAGCCCAGCACGCCGGCCUCUUCGUAAGCAUUGUUCUGCCAGUGAAUAGACGUCAGUAUGAAUCCUCUGAGUUAGAGACACUUUCUGCUGUACUCUUUACUUACUCCUCGGUAGGGGUACCUGGAGGGAGGAGGAGAAAGACAUUUUGAUGCCUUGAAAUGGGACAGCACUUGGAGAGAGCCACAUGCUGCUCUUGGUGACAACACCAGGUCCCUUAGGAGAGCAAUCGCUAACAGCACAGGCAAAGGGCUGCGCAUUGUGCAGCUAAUGGGCAGCAGAGGCCCUGGAGUCUGCGCUGGCUGAAACUCUCUUGGCCCAGGUGGUAAUGAUCUGCUCAGGGUCACCUGACCAGGAAGAGAUGUGGGCUUGGCUGGCAGGUUCUGCAGACAACUGUCUGUUGUCUCAUACCCACGCUCACACAGCACCCAUCUGCCCACCUGUGUCUACCCACCAUCCCCCAUCUUUGCCGAGCACUUCCGGCCCCAGAGUUCACCCCGCCCUCAUUUAUCUCCGCACAUGUGCAGAGCGGUUCCCACCAGAGCUUGGAAAGAGCUGCUACUCGACCUUCCUCAACCCCAGGCGCUUGCCGCAUCCUUUCCUCUGGCCCUCGUCCUCGGGCUGGACCACUCUUCUUCCCCUGGGUCUCAGGCCUCCUCCCUGGACUGUCCAAAGUGCUCUCCAAAUGCCGGUGGGACUUUGUACGUAAAUAUUAAGAUUUUUAUUUUUAAACUUCAUUGCAUUACAUUCAGUGGUAUUCAUUUUCAAAAAAAGUGUUGUUUUGAGUCAAACCAAAGGGAGUAAGUUAUCAGACAUAUCCACUUUUCAGUAAAAUGUAAGAGCAGUUUGUCUUGUGUGUAUGUACGCGUAUUUAGACAACAUGCCAGGCCUGCCAGGAGUUACUGUUUUAAUGCUGAUGUGGAAUUCUCUGCAGAAUUACCAUUGCUUUGACCAGUGCUGGCAUGAGCUGGCCUGGCUCAGGGUUCUUUGGGAACAGUGUUUUGCUAGAGGGGAGUUAUUGGGGUCGGCUCACAGGAGAGAAAGGAAACUGCUGGGAGGUGAACUCUUCAGCCACACUAAGCCCAAUCUAGGGUCAUGUGUAGAAUAGCUCAAGUGGCCCUCUUUCUACAUAGGCGUCUUGUUUGCUCUUGAAUUUGAAGCUGGCUCGCUCAGCAGGGUCUCAGACCUCUCUCUUUGACUUUCUUUCCACUUGGAAAAGAUGGGCUGAAAGGCAAUCCAAAACCUGGCAGGAAACUAAGGACUUGGAGCCUCUAAUGUAGAUAUUUCAGGGAGCCACAAAGUCCAGGUUCGCAUGCUUUAAACACAGGUGUGUGAGAAGACGCUGAGUGCAGACCCUCCCCACCACACGCCAGCUAUUUCCCACCCAGGCGUGGUUUGGCCCAGACCCCAGCCUGCGCUUUGCUUGGUGUUAGUGGUGCUUCUCAAACUUAGCCAGGCACUGAGCCACCUGGAAAGUGUUUAGCAGUCAAAACCACAGGCAGUGCUGUAGACCCAUAACUCAGACUUGCUCGGGGUGGACCCUGGGGUCACCAAUUGUAAAACUCCCCAAGUGAUGCCAAAACACAGCCAAGAUGAAGCCAGGGCCAGCGCAGGGCCACCACGAUGUUCGCCAACUCCCCGAACUUAUCCAGGUUGAUGGUGAGGGGAGUCAGAUCUCCUCCAGCAACCCCCUCCUCAGCAACAGCCCGGGUACCACUGGGAAACACCCACAACACCCCCAAGACAUGCUGAUGCCCGGGCCACCCCAGACCUGCACGUCAGAGCCUCUGUGGUCUGAGCUGACUGGUCCUCAGCCACAGUUCCAUAUUCAACAUGGACAGUGCCAUGAGAGGGCUGCAUAAAACGAGCCAAUAGGGGAGAUGCAGGAAGGAGUGUAAAGGAUAAAGAACCCACCCACUUGCUCAUCAGACUGGGCGUUUCGAGGGCUUGGCUGUCCAGGAUCAUGGAGUGAAACGUAGGCGCUGAGGGCAUUUUAAGCACUAUGAAGAAUAUUGAGUCACAAACAUUGCCUGACCUUGUUGCAAGGUUGAGUUCAGUGCUCUGCAGAGCCUGAACAGCUGGAACCUUCAUUUCUUGUCAGACACCAGCCUGUGUUCCCUUAUUCUGCAGAAACCAUCAGGGCUGGGGGGUUAUGGGAGCUCAUCUGCUCCAGCUAAGCAUGCAGCAGCUGACCAGAAAGUGAUCAUCCUGUGCUGGUGAUUAUCCCUGGUCAAAGCUGAUUUGCUGAUGUGGCCUCCAGGGGUCAGCAUAGGCCAAUGUUCUCCAGGGCAUCGAAGGCCUUUCCCUCAGUUUGAAAGAGACUCAUCCCCUUAAGACACUGUUCCUGAAACAGGUUAGCAUCACAAUGGCACAGGCCUUACAAUCAGACUGAGUAGCGACGAUAUGCAACCCAAUGUAAGGAAGCCAGAAAAAUGCUUAUAGAAAAUGAUGAAAGAAAUAUCUCAUCCAAGAUAUUGAAGUGUGACUAUCUUUGGGGAAAAUUCAGGCAAGACUUUCAUGGUGAAUUUUACUUCAAGGUAGAGGAACAUCGGAAAUGCUCUGAUGUCCUGGCUCUCUGUUCUUCCCCAUCCUCCAGGCCAUGGAAGGGCCCUGUGAAUUCUUAUGGCUAGUGAGGGGUACAGGAACCAACUAGGAGGUGACCUAUCUAACCUCCAGGGAUCUGGUGAUGAAUUGGAUCAUGUUUGGGGGUCUGUUUCUCCCUCUGAUGGAAAAUAAAUGGCUUGUGAACUUGAUCUUCACAGUGAAAAAAC
Molecule: long non-coding RNA, 4178 nt
Organism: Chinchilla lanigera (long-tailed chinchilla)
Lineage: Eukaryota; Metazoa; Chordata; Mammalia; Rodentia; Chinchillidae
Exons: 4
Source: RefSeq, a predicted model, not a curated record